CGGGCUGUAGCGCAGCUUGGUAGCGCACUUGUCUGGGGGACAAGGGGUCGCGGGUUCAAAUCCCGCCAGCCCGA
This 74-nucleotide transfer RNA is filed under the name Candidatus Aquiluna sp. IMCC13023. It matches the Rfam family "tRNA". Rfam says of the family: Transfer RNA (tRNA) molecules are approximately 80 nucleotides in length. Their secondary structure includes four short double-helical elements and three loops (D, anti-codon, and T loops). Further hydrogen bonds mediate the characteristic L-shaped molecular structure. tRNAs have two regions of fundamental functional importance: the anti-codon, which is responsible for specific mRNA codon recognition, and the 3' end, to which the tRNAs corresponding amino acid is attached (by aminoacyl-tRNA synthetases). tRNAs cope with the degeneracy of the genetic code in two manners: having more than one tRNA (with a specific anti-codon) for a particular amino acid; and 'wobble' base-pairing, i.e. permitting non-standard base-pairing at the 3rd anti-codon position. RNAcentral also lists the same sequence under 2 other names. Lineage: Bacteria; Bacillati; Actinomycetota; Actinomycetes; Micrococcales; Microbacteriaceae. The record is from Rfam by way of RNAcentral.